CCUACGGGAGGCAGCAGUGGGGAAUAUUGGACAAUGGGGGGAACCCUGAUCCAGCGACGCCGCGUGAGUGAAGAAGUAUUUCGGUAUGUAAAGCUCUAUCAGCAGGGAAGAAAAUGACGGUACCUGACUAAGAAGCCCCGGCUAACUACGUGCCAGCAGCCGCGGUAAUACGUAGGGGGCAAGCGUUAUCCGGAUUUACUGGGUGUAAAGGGAGCGUAGACGGUGCAGCAAGUCUGAUGUGAAAGGUCGGGGCCCAACCCCGGGACUGCUUUGGAAACUGUGUAGCUAGAGUGCUGGAGAGGCAAGCGGAAUUCCUAGUGUAGCGGUGAAAUGCGGAGAGAUUAGGAAGAACACCAGUGGCGAAGGCGGCUUGCUGGACAGUAACUGACGUUGAGGCUCGAAAGCGUGGGGAGCAAACAGGAUUAGAUACCCGGGUAGUC
RNAcentral lists this ribosomal RNA (440 nucleotides) under uncultured bacterium. RNAcentral's name for it is "partial 16S ribosomal RNA". It matches the Rfam family "Bacterial small subunit ribosomal RNA", at positions 338 to 795 of the family's 1533-position model. The record is from RNAcentral.